CUACGGGUGGCAGCAGUGGGGAAUAUUGCACAAUGGGCGCAAGCCUGAUGCAGCCAUGCCGCGUGUAUGAAGAAGGCCUUCGGGUUGUAAAGUACUUUCAGCGGGGAGGAAGGGAGUAAAGUUAAUACCUUUGCUCAUUGACGUUACCCGCAGAAGAAGCACCGGCUAACUCCGUGCCAGCAGCCGCGGUAAUACGGAGGGUGCAAGCGGUAAUCGGAAUUACUGGGCGUAAAGCGCACGCAGGCGGUUUGUUAAGUCAGAUGUGAAAUCCCCGGGCUCAACCUGGGAACUGCAUCUGAUACUGGCGAGCUUGAGUCUCGUAGAGGGGGGUAGAAUUCCAGGUGUAGCGGUGAAAUGCGUAGAGAUCUGGAGGAAUACCGGUGGCGAAGGCGGCCCCCUGGACGAAGACUGACGCUCAGGUGCGAAAGCGUGGGGAGCAAACAGGAUUAGAUACCCGCGUAGUC
Molecule: ribosomal RNA, 464 nt
Filed under: uncultured bacterium
Lineage: Bacteria
Description: partial 16S ribosomal RNA
Rfam family: Bacterial small subunit ribosomal RNA
Source: RNAcentral